UCUUAUAUUACUUUCUUAACGUAAUAGAAAUUGAACCCGCAUGAGUCCUAAUUUUCACCUCUCACCAACCAUGAUGUUAGGUUGAAGAGGAAGUACUGCCCAUUCUCCUUAAAUGCUUUGUGCUUUCGCGUUGCAAUCAUGGCCCAUGUGUUGCUAUUGUUCCCCUGGAUACAGAACUUUUAAAGGGUUCAUAGCAUGUUGUUGUUGUUGUUUACCCAUAAAGCAUUCAUCACUCGAUGCGUACAACGACUAUGCCCGCCUUAGCCCUAUCUGUAACUAAUUCGGACGGGGCUCAUGUAGUGCCAGCAUCAAGAAAGAAUACUACCAGGUUGAUCCCACCAGUAGUCAUAUGCUUACCUUAA
This 362-nucleotide unclassified non-coding RNA is filed under the name Chromolucuma cespedesiiformis. RNAcentral's name for it is "partial contains external transcribed spacer and 18S ribosomal RNA". The record is from RNAcentral. Lineage: Eukaryota; Viridiplantae; Streptophyta; Magnoliopsida; Ericales; Sapotaceae.